CCCAUCCUUCCGGGCAACUGAAGCAUCAGACUCUAGGAAAAUGGGUGCAGAGGGCCCUGACAAGCCUAGCGUCGUGUCAGGGCUGAACUCGGGCCCUGGUCAUGUGUGGGGCCUUCUCCUGGGACUACUGCUCCUGCCUCCUCUGGUGUUGGCUGGAAUCUUCUGAAGGGGAUACCACUCAAAGGGUGAAGAGGUCAGCUGUCCUCCUGUCAUCUUCCCCACCCUGUCCCCAGCCCCUAAACAAGAUACUUCUUGGUUAAGGCCCUCUGGAAGGGAAAGGCUACUGGGCAUGUGCCUCAUCACACCAUCCUGGAGGCACAAGGCCUGGCUGGCUGCGAGCUCAGGGGGCCGCCUGCGGACUGCACACCGGGCCCACACCUCUCCUGCCCCUCCCUCCUGAGUCCUGGGGGCGGGAGGAUUUGAGGGAGCUCACUGCCUACCUGGCCUGGGGCUGUCUGCCCA
This 462-nucleotide small RNA is filed under the name Pongo abelii (Sumatran orangutan). RNAcentral describes it as "processed transcript". The record is from RNAcentral. Lineage: Eukaryota; Metazoa; Chordata; Mammalia; Primates; Hominidae.